This 407-nucleotide ribosomal RNA is filed under the name Nematoda environmental sample. RNAcentral's name for it is "SSU rRNA". It matches the Rfam family "Eukaryotic small subunit ribosomal RNA", at positions 29 to 436 of the family's 1831-position model. The record is from RNAcentral. Lineage: Eukaryota; Metazoa; Nematoda.
UGCUUGUCUCAAAGAUUAAGCCAUGCAUGUCUAUGCACAAGCCGAAUACGGUGAAGCCGCGAAUGGCUCAUUACAACAGCCACGAAUACCUGAUUGGUGAUUAUCCUACUGGGAUAACUGUGGUAAUUCUAGAGCUAAUACAUGCAACCAAGCUCCGACCGUAAGGGACGAGCGCAUUUAUUAGAACAAAACCAAUCGGGCUUCGGCCUGAGGUUUGGUGAAUCUGAAUAGCUGAGCUGAUCGCAUGGUCUUUGUACCGGCGACGCAUCUUUCAAGUGUCUGCCUUAUCAACUUUCGAUGGUAGUUUAUGUGCCUACCAUGGUUGUAACGGGUAACGGAGAAUAAGGGUUCCACUCCGGAGAGGGAGCCUGAGAAACGGCUACCACAUCCRAGGAAGGCAGCAGGCA